RNAcentral lists this ribosomal RNA (448 nucleotides) under uncultured organism. Its description in RNAcentral is "partial 16S ribosomal RNA". It matches the Rfam family "Bacterial small subunit ribosomal RNA", at positions 333 to 797 of the family's 1533-position model. The record is from RNAcentral.
ACACUCCUGCGGGAGGCAGCAGUGGGGAAUAUUGGACAAUGGGUGCAAGCCUGAUCCAGCCAUGCCGCGUGAGUGAUGAAGGCCCUAGGGUUGUAAAGCUCUUUCACCGGAGAAGAUAAUGACGGUAUCCGGAGAAGAAGCCCCGGCUAACUUCGUGCCAGCAGCCGCGGUAAUACGAAGGGGGCUAGCGUUGUUCGGAAUUACUGGGCGUAAAGCGCACGUAGGCGGAUCGAUCAGUCAGGGGUGAAAUCCCAGGGCUCAACCCUGGAACUGCCUUUGAUACUGUCGAUCUGGAGUAUGGAAGAGGUGAGUGGAAUUCCGAGUGUAGAGGUGAAAUUCGUAGAUAUUCGGAGGAACACCAGUGGCGAAGGCGGCUCACUGGUCCAUUACUGACGCUGAGGUGCGAAAGCGUGGGGAGCAAACAGGAUUAGAAACCCCUGUAGUCCCA